This 299-nucleotide ribosomal RNA is filed under the name uncultured bacterium. RNAcentral's name for it is "partial 16S ribosomal RNA". It matches the Rfam family "Bacterial small subunit ribosomal RNA", at positions 337 to 633 of the family's 1533-position model. The record is from RNAcentral.
UCCUACGGGGCGCAGCAGUGAGGAAUAUUGGUCAAUGGGCUUACGCCUGAACCAGCCAAGUCGCGUGAGGGAAGACUGCCCUAUGGGUUGUAAACCUCUUUUGUCAGGGAGCAACGCCGGCUACGUGUAGCCGGACUGAGAGUACCUGAAGAAAAAGCAUCGGCUAACUCCGUGCCAGCAGCCGCGGUAAUACGGAGGAUGCGAGCGUUAUCCGGAUUUAUUGGGUUUAAAGGGUGCGUAGGCGGAAUGCCAAGUCAGCGGUAAAAUCGCGGGGCUCAACCUCGCGCCGCCGUUGAAAC